GGAGAUGUAGCUCAGUGGUAAAACAGCCCUGGGUUCAAUUUCCAGUAGAGAAAAAAAAAUUUUUUUCAUUACCA
This 74-nucleotide transfer RNA is filed under the name Ictidomys tridecemlineatus (thirteen-lined ground squirrel). RNAcentral describes it as "Spermophilus tridecemlineatus (thirteen-lined ground squirrel) tRNA". It matches the Rfam family "tRNA". From Rfam's summary of the family: Transfer RNA (tRNA) molecules are approximately 80 nucleotides in length. Their secondary structure includes four short double-helical elements and three loops (D, anti-codon, and T loops). Further hydrogen bonds mediate the characteristic L-shaped molecular structure. tRNAs have two regions of fundamental functional importance: the anti-codon, which is responsible for specific mRNA codon recognition, and the 3' end, to which the tRNAs corresponding amino acid is attached (by aminoacyl-tRNA synthetases). tRNAs cope with the degeneracy of the genetic code in two manners: having more than one tRNA (with a specific anti-codon) for a particular amino acid; and 'wobble' base-pairing, i.e. permitting non-standard base-pairing at the 3rd anti-codon position. The record is from Rfam by way of RNAcentral. Lineage: Eukaryota; Metazoa; Chordata; Mammalia; Rodentia; Sciuridae.